This 68-nucleotide transfer RNA is filed under the name bacterium. RNAcentral's name for it is "tRNA-OTHER". The record is from RNAcentral.
GGCGUGAUAGCAUGAUACACUGAUUCGUAAUCAGUAGGUCGUCGGUUCAAGUCCGAUUCCCGGCUCCA